AUGGUCUUGAUCUCCUGAUCUCGUGAUCCACCCGCCUCAGCCUCCCAAAGUGCUGGGACAACAGGCGUGAGCCACCACACCCGGCCCACUUUGGUGUUUAAUUUUUGCCCCUCCCCUGUUUUCUGACAAACUGUACAGGAUAUCUCCCAGGAAAUGUUUCUCAGCCAUGACGGGACAAAAGACAUAUAGACUAACAGCAGGGCAAGGAGAAACUCCAUGCCUGAAUAUAGUGUCAGUCUUUCCCACUGAUCUGUGCUCUCUGCAUGAGGCUCUUUUUGAAAUAAGCUUGAGUGAGCAAAAGAAGAGCAAAAGAGGACUCUCCACAGGGUUUGAAAUCAACCGUAGCCCAAAGACAUCACUUUAUUUCCAAGCCAGGCAGGGAUAGGAGAACCUCUCAGAAUUACUAGCAAGCUUGAGUUCCAGGUGGAACCCUGUUUGUGGCAACACAAGCACAUUUUUUACUGAGCUGUGAUCCUCAGGGAUGUGGAAUAUUAUUUUUCUCCUGUCUGCAUUUGUGCAGAGAACAGAGCAGAGAAACUAAUGAAAUGCACAGAGCUUCAAGUGACUUUAAACAAGACUCUGCAUUAUGAAAGCAGGCAAUGAGGACCUACUCUUGGCUUUUCUUUCAACCCCUGGGCUCCUGUGAUGAGCUGAGUGCUUGUUAAUUCCCACAUUCACUAAACCAUCAGAGUUCUGCUGAUUCUCAGUUUUAGAGGGAAACUCUACAGUGAGCUUUUUCAAUGGCAAUCGUCAAUUACUGGUCAGAAUACAUUAUAAUUGUGAAAAUUAUACCCCAUUAAUCUCAUUAAAUAUGUCUAAACCUAUAACUUUUCAUAGAUCUAUACAUAGGUUGACUAUAUUUAACUUGCCUUGAUCUUGUUUGCCAUUUUUUACAAAAGCAUCAUCUAAAAUAUAGGGAGAGUUGUCAGUAAUUUGGGCUUGUUAAUAAACAUUGUUUUUGCUUUGUCAUUUUUGUUUUGCUUCAUCCCUCCUUUGUGUCCUUGUGGUUUUGCCUGGCAUGGGUGACACUUAACCAUUUUAACUUAGCAAACUGUCAUACCGAAGAAAAUGCCAAUUCUAUGAUAUCAGACAUCUGACUGCAGGCUGUGGUUUGUUCGCAUUGAAGUAAGCUGUAUGUUAAGAAAAGUAUCUGCAUUUUAUUUUUUAUAGCACUAACGCAUGUCCAAGGCUCAUAUGCUUGCCUUAUUUUCUUGAGGACUUUCCUCAUAUCUCACCAUUUGUGUCUACACUUGCAGACCUUUAGGGUGAUGAUUCUUUGGUUAGGGACCAUCUGAAAGAAAAGUGGGCCAAAGGGAAAAAUAAUGGCUCUGGAGAAAUAUGUUUAACUCAUAAAUAGGUCACUGGUGGGUGUAUAACUGGAAGGCUUUGGAAGCCCAAGUCAGCACUUAGCUGUGGCGUCAAACCACGACAGCACAGUUUGACAGCAUGCCCAGGAGAUUACUUCAGUCCUAUAGGAUGGGAAGCUUUUAGGUUUAUGAGUAGAAUUGGGGGAUGGGAGAGGGUAAGAGUAAAAGAAGUGGGGAAUAAUCCCUAUGGUGAUAUGGCCCAAAUAAUAUUAUUCUCCCUCUUUUUUUUUUUUUUUUUUUUUUUUUAUAGACCCUGUCAGGGGAGGGUAAAUGAAACAGAAGUCCUUCCUUAGGGAAAAGCAGCUGGGUCUUAAGUAGAAACCUGCUCUUGGGCCGGGCACGGUGGCUCACGCCUGUAAUCCCAGCACUUUGGGAGGCCGAGGCAGGCAGAUGACAAGGU
Long non-coding RNA from Sapajus apella (tufted capuchin), 1767 nucleotides. RefSeq lists it as uncharacterized. NCBI's taxonomy places the organism in Eukaryota, Metazoa, Chordata, Mammalia, Primates, Cebidae. The record is from RefSeq and is a predicted model, not a curated record. The transcript has 3 exons.